GCACGGAGUUUGCCGGUGCUUAUUCAUCUGGUACCGUCAACUAUCCAAGAAAAGAUAGAUUUCUUCCCAAAUGAAAGAAGUUUACAAUCCAAAGGACCUUCAUCCUCCACGCGGCAUGGCUGGUUCACACUUGCGUCCAUUGACCAAUAUUCCUUACUGCUGCCUCCCGUAGGAGUCGGGCCCGUGUCUCAGUGCCCGUGUGACUGGUCUUGCUCUCACGCCAGUUACGGAUCGGCAACUUGGUGGGCCGUUACCCCGCCAACUAUCUAAUCAACCGCACACCCAUCUUCAAGCGCAUUGCUGCUAUAAUAUAAAAGUGAUGCCACUUCUAUAUGUUACGGGGUAUUAAUCCGGGUUUCCCCGGGCUAUUCCCCACUUAAAGGAAGGUUGUGUACGUGUUCCGCACCCGUUUGCCGGUCGCCUGCAUUCCGAUUGCUCGGAACCUGCUGCCCCACUACUUGCAUGUAUUAAGCCUGCCGCUAGCGUUCAUC
This 491-nucleotide ribosomal RNA is filed under the name uncultured bacterium. RNAcentral's name for it is "partial 16S rRNA". The record is from RNAcentral.